RNAcentral lists this ribosomal RNA (253 nucleotides) under uncultured bacterium. Its description in RNAcentral is "partial 16S ribosomal RNA". It matches the Rfam family "Bacterial small subunit ribosomal RNA", at positions 524 to 776 of the family's 1533-position model. The record is from RNAcentral.
UACGUAGGAUCCAAGCGUUGUCCGGAUUCAUUGGGCGUAAAGGGUGCGUAGGCGGCGCGGUAAGUCGGGUGUGAAAUCUCGGGGCUUAACUCCGAAACUGCAUUCGAUACUGCCGUGCUUGAGGACUGGAGAGGAGACUGGAAUUUACGGUGUAGCGGUGAAAUGCGUAGAUAUCGUAAGGAAGACCAGUGGCGAAGGCGGGUCUCUGGACAGUUCCUGACGCUGAGGCACGAAGGCCAGGGGAGCAAACGGG